RNAcentral lists this ribosomal RNA (253 nucleotides) under uncultured bacterium. RNAcentral's name for it is "partial 16S ribosomal RNA". It matches the Rfam family "Bacterial small subunit ribosomal RNA", at positions 524 to 776 of the family's 1533-position model. The record is from RNAcentral.
UACGAAGGGGGCUAGCGUUGCUCGGAAUCACUGGGCGUAAAGCGCACGUAGGCGGGUCUUUAAGUCAGGGGUGAAAUCCUGAAGCUCAACUCCAGAACUGCCUUUGAUACUGAGGAUCUCGAGUCCGGGAGAGGUGAGUGGAACUCCGAGUGUAGAGGUGAAAUUCGUAGAUAUUCGGAAGAACACCAGUGGCGAAGGCGGCUCACUGGUCCGGUACUGACGCUGAGGUGCGAAAGCGUGGGGAGCAAACAGG